RNAcentral lists this ribosomal RNA (253 nucleotides) under uncultured bacterium. RNAcentral's name for it is "partial 16S ribosomal RNA". It matches the Rfam family "Bacterial small subunit ribosomal RNA", at positions 524 to 776 of the family's 1533-position model. The record is from RNAcentral.
UACGAGUGCGUCGAGCGUUAUCCGGAAUCAUUGGGCGUAAAGGGUGUGUAGGCGGCGUUGUUAGUCUCCCGUAAAAUUCCUCGGCUCAACCGGGGGCUCGCGGGAGAAACGGCAAUGCUAGAGAUUGGCAGGGGUCACUGGAACUCUAGGUGUAGCGGUGAAAUGCGUUGAUAUCUGGAGGAACACCGGUGGCGAAGGCGGCAUCCUGGACCGGUAUUGACGCUGAGGCGCGAAAGCCAGGGGAGCAAACGGG